CCUACGGGGGGCAGCAGUGGGGAAUAUUGGGCAAUGGGCGCAAGCCUGACCCAGCAACGCCGCGUGAAGGAAGAAGGCUUUCGGGUUGUAAACUUCUUUUAAGAGGAAAGAGCAGAAGACGGUACCCCUUGAAUAAGCCACGGCUAACUACGUGCCAGCAGCAGCGGUAAUACGUAGGGUGCAAGCGUUGUCCGGAUUUACUGGGUGUAAGGGGCGUGCAGCCGGGAAGACAAGUCAGAUGUGAAAUCCCGCGGCUCAACCGCGGAACUGCAUUUGGAACGGUUUUUCUUGAGUACCGGAGAGGUCAUCGGAAUUCCUUGUGUAGCGGUGGAAUGCGUAGAUAUAAGGAAGAACACCAGUGGCGAAGGCGGAUGACUGGACGGCAACUGACGGUGAGGCGCGAAAGCGUGGGGAGCGAACAGGAUUAGAUACCCGAGUAGUC
RNAcentral lists this ribosomal RNA (442 nucleotides) under uncultured bacterium. Its description in RNAcentral is "partial 16S ribosomal RNA". It matches the Rfam family "Bacterial small subunit ribosomal RNA", at positions 338 to 795 of the family's 1533-position model. The record is from RNAcentral.